GGCGUGGCGUUUGCUAAUCCAUCCGUAACGGUAGCCAACGGCGGUUACCCACCUACGACAAAGGCGUCGC
Molecule: regulatory RNA element, 70 nt
Organism: Pseudomonas sp. HPB0071
Lineage: Bacteria; Pseudomonadati; Pseudomonadota; Gammaproteobacteria; Pseudomonadales; Pseudomonadaceae
Rfam family: narK RNA
Source: Rfam